Non-coding RNA from Linepithema humile (Argentine ant), 441 nucleotides. The record is from RefSeq and is a predicted model, not a curated record. NCBI's taxonomy places the organism in Eukaryota, Metazoa, Arthropoda, Insecta, Hymenoptera, Formicidae.
UCGAAUAACUGAGAGAAAAUAAUUUUCUGACAAUCAGAUAUUCAUAUGUUCUUCAUUUUUUCUGUAUGUUCUUAAAUAGCUGGUUAAAAAUUAUUGAUUAUUAGGAGGUUAUCCAUGGAAGUAAUACUUAAAAAUGAAACUUGAAAACGAUUUGUUUCAAAGGCGAGGAGAACGGAUCUGAUCGAUUAUCUGUAAUCACGAUUAAUGUUUACAUGCCAUACCGAUUGUUACGAUGCGAGCAUGUCAGCGAAAGUGACGUCAGAAGCACGAGGAUGCGUCAGUUGAAAAUUACCAGGAAUAACUCCAGCAGUUCCGGCUUCAUCAGACCAAAGUACACCAUCUGCAAAAAAUUUCUUUUCGUCAGGUAAAAAAUUUUGUUUUGCGAGAUAAAGAUUUUUUGCGCAAUCUGGUGAACAAUGGCGGAGUAAAGAGAAUAAAAUG